RNAcentral lists this ribosomal RNA (240 nucleotides) under uncultured bacterium. RNAcentral describes it as "partial 16S ribosomal RNA". It matches the Rfam family "Bacterial small subunit ribosomal RNA", at positions 337 to 594 of the family's 1533-position model. The record is from RNAcentral.
UCCUACGGGGCGCAGCAGUGGGGAAUAUUGCACAAUGGGGGAAACCCUGAUGCAGCGACGCCGCGUGAGUGAAGAAGUGUUUCGGCACGUAAAGCUCUGUCAGCAGGGAAGAAAAUGACGGUACCUGACCAAGAAGCCCCGGCUAACUACGUGCCAGCAACCGCGGUAAUACGUAGGGGGCAAGCGUUAUCCGGAUUUACUGGGUGUAAAGGGAGCGCAGACGGCAGCGCAAGUCCGGGG